Molecule: ribosomal RNA, 119 nt
Filed under: Orchesella cincta
Lineage: Eukaryota; Metazoa; Arthropoda; Collembola; Entomobryomorpha; Orchesellidae
Source: RNAcentral
GCCAACCGCCAUACCACAUUAAACACACCAGUUCUCGUCCGAUCACUGAAGUUAAGUAAGGCCAGGCCCGGUUCGUACUUAGAUGGGUGACCGCCUGGGAACCCCAGUUGCUGUUGGUA